RNAcentral lists this ribosomal RNA (1349 nucleotides) under Mycolicibacterium smegmatis. RNAcentral's name for it is "bacterial SSU rRNA". It matches the Rfam family "Bacterial small subunit ribosomal RNA", at positions 76 to 1435 of the family's 1533-position model. Lineage: Bacteria; Bacillati; Actinomycetota; Actinomycetes; Mycobacteriales; Mycobacteriaceae. The record is from RNAcentral.
CCCUUUCGGGGGUACUCGAGUGGCGAACGGGUGAGUAACACGUGGGUGAUCUGCCCUGCACUUUGGGAUAAGCCUGGGAAACUGGGUCUAAUACCGAAUACACCCUGCUGGUCGCAUGGCCUGGUAGGGGAAAGCUUUUGCGGUGUGGGAUGGGCCCGCGGCCUAUCAGCUUGUUGGUGGGGUGAUGGCCUACCAAGGCGACGACGGGUAGCCGGCCUGAGAGGGUGACCGGCCACACUGGGACUGAGAUACGGCCCAGACUCCUACGGGAGGCAGCAGUGGGGAAUAUUGCACAAUGGGCGCAAGCCUGAUGCAGCGACGCCGCGUGAGGGAUGACGGCCUUCGGGUUGUAAACCUCUUUCAGCACAGACGAAGCGCAAGUGACGGUAUGUGCAGAAGAAGGACCGGCCAACUACGUGCCAGCAGCCGCGGUAAUACGUAGGGUCCGAGCGUUGUCCGGAAUUACUGGGCGUAAAGAGCUCGUAGGUGGUUUGUCGCGUUGUUCGUGAAAACUCACAGCUUAACUGUGGGCGUGCGGGCGAUACGGGCAGACUAGAGUACUGCAGGGGAGACUGGAAUUCCUGGUGUAGCGGUGGAAUGCGCAGAUAUCAGGAGGAACACCGGUGGCGAAGGCGGGUCUCUGGGCAGUAACUGACGCUGAGGAGCGAAAGCGUGGGGAGCGAACAGGAUUAGAUACCCUGGUAGUCCACGCCGUAAACGGUGGGUACUAGGUGUGGGUUUCCUUCCUUGGGAUCCGUGCCGUAGCUAACGCAUUAAGUACCCCGCCUGGGGAGUACGGCCGCAAGGCUAAAACUCAAAGGAAUUGACGGGGGCCCGCACAAGCGGCGGAGCAUGUGGAUUAAUUCGAUGCAACGCGAAGAACCUUACCUGGGUUUGACAUGCACAGGACGCCGGCAGAGAUGUCGGUUCCCUUGUGGCCUGUGUGCAGGUGGUGCAUGGCUGUCGUCAGCUCGUGUCGUGAGAUGUUGGGUUAAGUCCCGCAACGAGCGCAACCCUUGUCUCAUGUUGCCAGCACGUUAUGGUGGGGACUCGUGAGAGACUGCCGGGGUCAACUCGGAGGAAGGUGGGGAUGACGUCAAGUCAUCAUGCCCCUUAUGUCCAGGGCUUCACACAUGCUACAAUGGCCGGUACAAAGGGCUGCGAUGCCGUGAGGUGGAGCGAAUCCUUUCAAAGCCGGUCUCAGUUCGGAUCGGGGUCUGCAACUCGACCCCGUGAAGUCGGAGUCGCUAGUAAUCGCAGAUCAGCAACGCUGCGGUGAAUACGUUCCCGGGCCUUGUACACACCGCCCGUCACGUCAUGAAAGUCGUUAACACCCGAAGCCGGUGGCC